Small nuclear RNA from Rosa rugosa (rugosa rose), 103 nucleotides. The record is from RefSeq and is a predicted model, not a curated record. NCBI's taxonomy places the organism in Eukaryota, Viridiplantae, Streptophyta, Magnoliopsida, Rosales, Rosaceae.
GUCUCUUCAGGGACAUCUGAUAAAAUUGGAACGAUACAAACAAGAUUAGAGUGGCUCUUGCGCAAGGACGACAAAUAUAGAUUGAGAAAUGAUUCAGGUUUUA